RNAcentral lists this ribosomal RNA (425 nucleotides) under uncultured bacterium. RNAcentral's name for it is "partial 16S ribosomal RNA". It matches the Rfam family "Bacterial small subunit ribosomal RNA", at positions 354 to 796 of the family's 1533-position model. The record is from RNAcentral.
GUGGGGAAUCUUGCGCAAUGGGCGAAAGCCUGACGCAGCCAUGCCGCGUGAAUGAUGAAGGUCUUAGGAUUGUAAAAUUCUUUCACCGGGGACGAUAAUGACGGUACCCGGAGAAGAAGCUCCGGCUAACUUCGUGCCAGCAGCCGCGGUAAUACGAAGGGGGCUAGCGUUGCUCGGAAUUACUGGGCGUAAAGGGCGCGUAGGCGGACAGCUUAGUCAGAGGUGAAAGCCCAGGGCUCAACCUUGGAAUUGCCUUUGAUACUGGCUGUCUGUAGUUUGGGAGAGGUGAGUGGAACUCCGAGUGUAGAGGUGAAAUUCGUAGAUAUUCGGAAGAACACCAGUGGCGAAGGCGACUCACUGGCCCAAUACUGACGCUGAGGCGCGAAAGCGUGGGGAGCAAACAGGAUUAGAUACCCUAGUAGUCC